Molecule: ribosomal RNA, 428 nt
Filed under: uncultured bacterium
Lineage: Bacteria
Description: bacterial SSU rRNA
Rfam family: Bacterial small subunit ribosomal RNA
Source: RNAcentral
UGAGGAAUCUUGCGCAAUGGGGGAAACCCUGACGCAGCAACGCCGCGUGAGUGAGGAAGGUCUUCGGAUCGUAAAGCUCUGUCAGUUGGAAAGAAAUGUCUGAGAGUCAAUCCCUUUCAGGCUUGACGGUACCAACAGAGGAAGCACCGGCUAACUCCGUGCCAGCAGCCGCGGUAAUACGGGGGGUGCAAGCGUUGUUCGGAAUUAUUGGGCGUAAAGAGCGUGUAGGCGGCCGGAUAUGUCAGAUGUGAAAGCCCCGGGCUUAACCCGGGAAGUGCAUUUGAAACUGUCCGGCUCGAGUAGGGGAGAGGGAAGUGAAAUUCCUGGUGUAGAGGUGAAAUUCGUAGAUAUCAGGAGGAACACCGGUGGCGAAGGCGACUUCCUGGCCCUAUACUGACGCUGAGACGCGAGAGCGUGGGUAGCAACCA